This 446-nucleotide ribosomal RNA is filed under the name uncultured bacterium. Its description in RNAcentral is "bacterial SSU rRNA". It matches the Rfam family "Bacterial small subunit ribosomal RNA", at positions 29 to 521 of the family's 1533-position model. The record is from RNAcentral.
AACGAACGCUGGCGGCAUGCCUAACACAUGCAAGUCGAACGAGACCUUCGGGUCUAGUGGCGCACGGGUGCGUAACGCGUGGGAAUCUGCCCUUGGGUUCGGAAUAACAGCGAGAAAUUGCUGCUAAUACCGGAUGAUGACGUAAGUCCAAAGAUUUAUCGCCCAAGGAUGAGCCCGCGUAGGAUUAGCUAGUUGGUGAGGUAAAGGCUCACCAAGGCGACGAUCCUUAGCUGGUCUGAGAGGAUGAUCAGCCACACUGGGACUGAGACACGGCCCAGACUCCUACGGGAGGCAGCAGUGGGGAAUAUUGGACAAUGGGCGAAAGCCUGAUCCAGCAAUGCCGCGUGAGUGAUGAAGGCCUUAGGGUUGUAAAGCUCUUUUACCCGGGAUGAUAAUGACAGUACCGGGAGAAUAAGCCCGGCUAACUCCGUGCCAGCAGCCGCGGU